This 609-nucleotide ribosomal RNA is filed under the name uncultured Gammaproteobacteria bacterium. RNAcentral's name for it is "partial 16S ribosomal RNA". Lineage: Bacteria; Pseudomonadati; Pseudomonadota; Gammaproteobacteria. The record is from RNAcentral.
GGGAGCUCUCCCAUAUGGUCGACCUGCAGGCGGCCGCGAAUUCACUAGUGAUUCGUAUUACCGCGGCUGCUGGCACAGAGUUAGCCGGUGCUUAUUCUGCGGGUACCGUCAUAGCAACGAGUUAUUCGCUCGUUACCUUUCUUCCCCACCUAAAGUGCUUUACAACCCGAAGGCCUUCUUCACACACGCGGCAUCGCUGGAUCAGGGUUUCCCCCAUUGUCCAAGAUUCCCCACUGCUGCCUCCCGUAGGAGUCUGGGCCGUGUCUCAGUCCCAGUGUGGCUGGUCAUCCUCUCAGACCAGCUACGGAUCGUCGCCUUGGUAGGCUUUUACCCCACCAACUAGCUAAUCCGACGUAGGCUCACCCCAGAGCGCAAGGCCUUUCGGUCCCCUGCUUUUGAUCUCUCGAUAUCAUGUGGUAUUAGCCCGAGUUUCCUCGGGUUAUCCCACGCUCCAGGACAGAUUCCUACGUGUUACUCACCCGUCCGCCACUCGCCACCCCAUAAAGACCGAAAUCUUUACUGUGCUGCCGUUCGACUUGCAUGUGUUAGGCAUGCCGCCAGCGUUCAAUCUGAGCCAGGAUCAAACUCUAAUCGAAUUCCCGCGGCCGC